GGAAGGUAGAGGUCAAGACUUCACCUGGUUAACAGAGGAAGAAGAAGCCGACGAAGCCAUGACAGAGAGUCGCACCGACGAGAGGAAGAAGAGAGUAAACCGAAAGCCAAAUUGGUACUAUCGGGAGUAAGCGCCGAGGUCGGUAUUUAUGGAAAAAGAUGCGUGGAAAUUUGGUAAGGCCACGUCCCAUCGGUAAUAAGAAAGGCAAUAAAUAGAAAGGGCGUCGCGAGAGACGGUCAAAGAAGAUAGUAAAUGUUCGUACAAAACGGUCAGUGUUUUACAGAUUACCCAGAAGGGUAUCGAUAGCCGUGAUAGCCCGACGCCGGAUCUGAU
This 333-nucleotide long non-coding RNA is filed under the name Setaria viridis. Its description in RNAcentral is "long non-coding RNA (SVIR_LNC008022)". Lineage: Eukaryota; Viridiplantae; Streptophyta; Magnoliopsida; Poales; Poaceae. The record is from RNAcentral.